AUUGCUUCUUGGCCUUCUGAAAAGAUCAAGUAUUAUAUAUACGUUUACCAGCUUACUGUCUGCUGCAUUCUCUAUCUGAGGACAAGACUUUAAGUGGAUUGGGGGGGAGGGGAGGUAGGAUAGGAACUUGCUUCAUCCACUUCACACAUAGCCCUGAUAUUAUACUACCUCCAGAAAUGGUACACCCCCU
RNAcentral lists this small nuclear RNA (190 nucleotides) under Nannospalax galili (Upper Galilee mountains blind mole rat). RNAcentral describes it as "U2 spliceosomal RNA (ENSNGAG00000003680.1)". It matches the Rfam family "U2 spliceosomal RNA". From Rfam's summary of the family: U2 is a small nuclear RNA (snRNA) component of the spliceosome (involved in pre-mRNA splicing). Complementary binding between U2 snRNA (in an area lying towards the 5' end but 3' to hairpin I) and the branchpoint sequence (BPS) of the intron results the bulging out of an unpaired adenosine, on the BPS, which initiates a nucleophilic attack at the intronic 5' splice site, thus starting the first of two transesterification reactions that mediate splicing. Lineage: Eukaryota; Metazoa; Chordata; Mammalia; Rodentia; Spalacidae. The record is from Rfam by way of RNAcentral.